This 133-nucleotide transfer RNA is filed under the name Halococcus saccharolyticus DSM 5350. It matches the Rfam family "tRNA". From Rfam's summary of the family: Transfer RNA (tRNA) molecules are approximately 80 nucleotides in length. Their secondary structure includes four short double-helical elements and three loops (D, anti-codon, and T loops). Lineage: Archaea; Methanobacteriati; Methanobacteriota; Halobacteria; Halobacteriales; Halococcaceae. The record is from Rfam by way of RNAcentral.
GGGCCCUUAGCUCAGUGGUAAGAGCGCUCGGCUCAUACUGACAUCCGAGGAUCCUCAUCGCACACUGUCUCGGUGCGGUCCUCGGGUGACAUGAGACACCGAGUGGUCGUUGGUUCGAAUCCGACAGGGCCCA